GAUGAACGCUGGCGGCGUGCUUAAUACAUGCAAGUCGAGCGGAAAGACCCUGCUCUUGCUGGGUUCUCGAGUGGCGCACGCGUGAGUAACACGCGAGUAUCCUCCCCUUGUCUUUCUGAUAUCACCAGGAAACUGGGGCUCAUACAGGAUAGGAGCUCCUGAUCCAUGGUGGGGGAUGGUGAGAGUCGGCUGUUGGGGAUGGACUCGCGGGUUAUCAGCUUGUUGGGGGAGUAGUUGCUUACCAAGGCUGCGACGGGUAGCCGGCCUGAGAGGGUGACCGGCCACAUUGGGACUAAGAUACGGCCCAGACGCCUACUGGAGGCAGCAGUGGGGAGUAUUGCAGAGUGGGCGCAAGCCUGAUGCAGAGACGUCGCGUGCGGGAUGACGGCCUUCGAGUUGUAAACCGCUUUCGCCGGAGACGAAGCGGGAGUGACGGUAACGGGUAAGGAAGCACCGGCUAACUACGUG
RNAcentral lists this ribosomal RNA (468 nucleotides) under uncultured bacterium. Its description in RNAcentral is "partial 16S ribosomal RNA". It matches the Rfam family "Bacterial small subunit ribosomal RNA", at positions 28 to 507 of the family's 1533-position model. The record is from RNAcentral.